UACAGAGGUCUCAAGCGUUGUUCGGAUUCAUUGGGCGUAAAGGGCGCGUAGGCGGCGGGGUCAGUCGGGUGUGAAAUCUUGGGGCUUAACCCCGAAACGGCACUCGAAACUGCCCGGCUGGAGGGCCGGAGAGGAGAUCGGAGUUCACGGUGUAGCAGUGAAAUGCGUAGAGAUCGUGAGGAAGACCCGUGGCGAAGGCGGAUCUCUGGACGGCUAACUGACGCUGAGGCGCGAAGGCCAGGGGAGCAAACGGG
Molecule: ribosomal RNA, 254 nt
Filed under: uncultured bacterium
Lineage: Bacteria
Description: partial 16S ribosomal RNA
Rfam family: Bacterial small subunit ribosomal RNA
Source: RNAcentral